RNAcentral lists this ribosomal RNA (416 nucleotides) under uncultured bacterium. RNAcentral describes it as "bacterial SSU rRNA". It matches the Rfam family "Bacterial small subunit ribosomal RNA", at positions 29 to 429 of the family's 1533-position model. The record is from RNAcentral.
AACGAACGCUGGCGGCGUGCCUAACACAUGCAAGUCGUGCGAGAAAGUUCCUUCGGGAGCGAGUAAAGCGGCGCACGGGUGAGUAACACGUAGGUAACCUGCCCCCCAGUCUGGAACAACUAGAGGAAACUCUAGCUAAUGCCGGAUGAGACCACGAUCCCUUCGGGGGUUGCGGCCAAAGAUGGCCUCUACUUGUAAGCUAUCGCUGAGGGAUGGGCCUGCGGGCCAUUAGCUUGUUGGUGAGGUAACGGCUCACCAAGGCUGUGAUGGCUAGCUGGUCUGAGAGGAUGACCAGCCACACUGGGACUGAGACACGGCCCAGACUCCUACGGGAGGCAGCAGUGGGGAAUAGUUGCGCAAUGGGCGAAAGCCUGACGCAGCGACGCCGCGUGGGUGAUGGAAGGCCUGGUCGUAAG